This 682-nucleotide ribosomal RNA is filed under the name Lacticaseibacillus casei. RNAcentral describes it as "Lactobacillus casei partial 23S ribosomal RNA". It matches the Rfam family "Bacterial large subunit ribosomal RNA", at positions 2245 to 2925 of the family's 2925-position model. Lineage: Bacteria; Bacillati; Bacillota; Bacilli; Lactobacillales; Lactobacillaceae. The record is from RNAcentral.
CGGGAGACAGUGUCAGGUAGGCAGUUUGACUGGGGCGGUCGCCUCCUAAAAUGUAACGGAGGCGCCCAAAGGUUCCCUCAGAAUGGUUGGAAAUCAUUCGCAGAGUGUAAAGGUAGAAGGGAGCUUGACUGCGAGACUGACAAGUCGAGCAGGGACGAAAGUCGGGCUUAGUGAUCCGGUGGUUCCGUAUGGAAGGGCCAUCGCUCAACGGAUAAAAGCUACCCUGGGGAUAACAGGCUUAUCUCCCCCAAGAGUCCACAUCGACGGGGAGGUUUGGCACCUCGAUGUCGGCUCAUCGCAUCCUGGGGCUGUAGUCGGUCCCAAGGGUUGGGCUGUUCGCCCAUUAAAGCGGUACGCGAGCUGGGUUCAGAACGUCGUGAGACAGUUCGGUCCCUAUCCGUCGCGGGCGCAGGAAAUUUGAGAGGAGCUGUCCUUAGUACGAGAGGACCGGGAUGGACGUUCCGCUGGUGUACCAGUUGUGCCGCCAGGCGCAUCGCUGGGUAGCUAUGAACGGAAGGGAUAAACGCUGAAAGCAUCUAAGUGUGAAGCCCCCCUCGAGAUGAGAUUUCCCAUUCCUAUAUGGAAGUAAGACCCCUGAGAGAUGAUCAGGUAGAUAGGCUGGAAGUGGAAGUGCAGCGAUGCAUGGAGCGGACCAGUACUAAUCGGUCGAGGACUUAACCAA